RNAcentral lists this transfer RNA (75 nucleotides) under archaeon. Its description in RNAcentral is "tRNA-Arg". It matches the Rfam family "tRNA". Rfam says of the family: Transfer RNA (tRNA) molecules are approximately 80 nucleotides in length. The record is from RNAcentral.
GUCUUGUUAGCUCAGUUGGAAUAGAGCAACUGCCUUCUAAGCAGUCGGUCGUAGGUUCGAGUCCUACACAAGACG